GCUGGGGAUGGUGGUGCAUGCCUGUAAUCCUAGUGACUCAGGAGGCUGAGGCAGGAGGAUUGCAAGUUUGAGGACAGUUUCAGGAACAUAGGGAAGCCCUAAGAAACUGAGUGAUACACUAUCUCAAAAUAGAAAGGGAUGGGGAUGUAGCUUAGUGGUAGAGUGUGCCUGGGUUCAAUGGUUCAAUUCCCAGUACCUU
RNAcentral lists this small RNA (199 nucleotides) under Marmota monax (woodchuck). The record is from RNAcentral. Lineage: Eukaryota; Metazoa; Chordata; Mammalia; Rodentia; Sciuridae.